Molecule: ribosomal RNA, 466 nt
Filed under: uncultured bacterium
Lineage: Bacteria
Description: partial 16S ribosomal RNA
Rfam family: Bacterial small subunit ribosomal RNA
Source: RNAcentral
CGAACGCUGGCGGCGUGCUUAACACAUGCAAGUCGAACGGAAAGGCCCUGCUUUUGUGGGGUGCUCGAGUGGCGAACGGGUGAGUAACACGUGAGUAACCUGCCCUUGACUUUGGGAUAACUUCAGGAAACUGGGGCCAAUACCGGAUAGGAGCUCCUGCUGCAUGGUGGGGGUUGGAAAGUUUCGGCGGUUGGGGAUGGACUCGCGGCUUAUCAGCUUGUUGGUGGGGUAGUGGCUUACCAAGGCUUUGACGGGUAGCCGGCCUGAGAGGGUGACCGGCCACAUUGGGACUGAGAUACGGCCCAGACUCCUACGGGAGGCAGCAGUGGGGAAUAUUGCACAAUGGGCGGAAGCCUGAUGCAGCAACGCCGCGUGCGGGAUGACGGCCUUCGGGUUGUAAACCGCUUUCGCCUGUGACGAAGCGUGAGUGACGGUAAUGGGUAAAGAAGCACCGGCUAACUACGUG